UUAGAGUUUGAUCCUGGCUCAGAACGAACGCUGGCGGCAGGCUUAACACAUGCAAGUCGAACGCCCCGCAAGGGGAGUGGCAGACGGGUGAGUAACGCGUGGGAAUCUACCGUACCCUACGGAAUAACGCAUGGAGACGUGUGCUAAUACCGUAUACGCCCUUCAGGGGAAAGACUUACCGGGGUAUGAUGAGCCCGCGUUGGAUUAGCUAGUUGGUGGGGUAAAGGCCUACCAAGGCGACGAUCCAUAGCUGGUCUGAGAGGAUGAUCAGCCACAUUGGGACUGAGACACGGCCCAAACUCCUACGGGAGGCAGCAGUGGGGAAUAUUGGACAAUGGGCGCAAGCCUGAUCCAGCCAUGCCGCGUGAGUGAUGAAGGUCUUAGGAUUGUAAAGCUCUUUCACCGAUGAAGAUAAUGACGGUAGUCGGAGAAGAAGCCCCGGCUAACUUCGUGCCAGCAGCCGCGGUAAUACGAAGGGGGCUAGCGUUGUUCGGAAUUACUGGGCGUAAAGCGCACGUAGGCGGAUAUUUAAGUCAGGGGUGAAAUCCCGCAGCUCAACUGCGGAACUGCCUUUGAUACUGGGUAUCUCGAGUAUGGAAGAGGUGAGUGGAAUUUCCGAGUGUAGAGGUGAAAUUCGUAGAUAUUCGGGAGGAACACCAGUGGCGAAGGCGGCUCACUGGUCCAUUACUGACGCUGAGGUGCGAAAGCGUGGGGAGCAAACAGGAUUAGAUACCCUGGUAGUCCACGCCGUAAACGAUGGGAAACUAGGUGUAGCGGGUAUUGAUCCCCUGCUGUGCCGAAGCUAACGCAUUAAGUUCCCCGCCUGGGGAGUACGGUCGCAAGGCUAAAACUCAAAGGAAUUGACGGGGGCCCGCACAAGCGGUGGAGCAUGUGGUUCAAUUCGAUGCAACGCGAAAAACCUUACCUGGGUUUGACAUCCUCUGACAGUCCCUGAAGGCGGAUCUUCCUGAUUUAUCAGGACAGAGUGACAGGUGCUGCAUGGCUGUCGUCAGCUCGUGUCGUGAGAUGUUGGGUUAAGUCCCGCAACGAGCGCAACCCUUGUCUUUAGUUGCCAAUAUUAAGUUAGGCACUCUAAAGAUACUGCCUCGGUUAACGGGGGGGAAGGUGGGGAUGACGUCAAGUCCUCAUGGCCUUUAUACCCAGGGCUACACACGUGCUACAAUGGGUUGUACAAAGGGUAGCAACCUUGUGAGAGGAAGCUAAUCCCUAAAAGCAGUCCUUAGUUCGGAUUGGAGUCUGCAACUCGACUCCAUGAAGUUGGAAUCGCUAGUAAUCGUGGAUCAGCAUGCCACGGUGAAUACGUUCCCGGGCCUUGUACACACCGCCCGUCACACACGAAAGUUGGCUGUACCAGAAGUUGCUAGGCUAACCCCCGAUUUAUCGGGGGAGGCAGGUACCUAAGGUAUGGCUGAUGAUUGGGGUGAAGUCGUAACA
This 1455-nucleotide ribosomal RNA is filed under the name uncultured bacterium. Its description in RNAcentral is "partial 16S ribosomal RNA". It matches the Rfam family "Bacterial small subunit ribosomal RNA". The record is from RNAcentral.